AUCCACAUGCCAACUUUCUAAAAAGCAUAUUAAUCCUUGCCUAAUUAUUCUCUCAAGUACUCUUUAUAUUUGUUUCCCUUGACAUAUCUCUUGAUACCACGAUUUCACCACUGUCACAAACUCAAAGCUCUGUUGAAUCCUCAUAAAUCCAGGGAAUUUGCAGGCGAUAUGGGCACGGAAGCACCAAGCUGGGCAGAUCAAUGGGGCGCUGGAGGCAUAGGCGCCGUAGAAGAAGUUGACACUCUUGAGAACAAUAAAGAUGGUGGUAAUAAGAAGAAAGGGACAAGUUCUUCGGCAGGACUGAGCAAGGCCAAAGCAGUAGCCGUUGGCGGAGCACAGAAGGUCAAGAACGGAACCACGAUGGGGAUCAAAUGGAUCAAGAACAAGGUUCAGAAGAAAAACACAGAUGCAAAUUCACAUAAUUGAAUAAUCUCUGUAAAUCUUGGUAGUUUUUGCUGGCAAUCAAGCGUGUAGUUGUUACAUUCAAGUCAUGUACUCGUCUCCAGAAAUAACAUACCAGGGUCCUUUGAUUAUACAA
Daucus carota subsp. sativus is the source of this 538-nucleotide long non-coding RNA. RefSeq lists it as uncharacterized. The transcript is spliced from 2 exons. The record is from RefSeq and is a predicted model, not a curated record. Lineage: Eukaryota; Viridiplantae; Streptophyta; Magnoliopsida; Apiales; Apiaceae.